RNAcentral lists this transfer RNA (83 nucleotides) under Gemmatimonadota bacterium. RNAcentral describes it as "Gemmatimonadetes bacterium (sponge metagenome) tRNA-Ser". It matches the Rfam family "tRNA". From Rfam's summary of the family: Transfer RNA (tRNA) molecules are approximately 80 nucleotides in length. Their secondary structure includes four short double-helical elements and three loops (D, anti-codon, and T loops). Further hydrogen bonds mediate the characteristic L-shaped molecular structure. tRNAs have two regions of fundamental functional importance: the anti-codon, which is responsible for specific mRNA codon recognition, and the 3' end, to which the tRNAs corresponding amino acid is attached (by aminoacyl-tRNA synthetases). tRNAs cope with the degeneracy of the genetic code in two manners: having more than one tRNA (with a specific anti-codon) for a particular amino acid; and 'wobble' base-pairing, i.e. permitting non-standard base-pairing at the 3rd anti-codon position. Lineage: Bacteria; Pseudomonadati; Gemmatimonadota. The record is from RNAcentral.
GGAGGGGUGGCAGAACGGCGAAUGCACCGGUCUUGAAAACCGGCGUCCUCACGGACAUGCGGGUUCGAAUCCCGCCCCCUCCG